CUCGGAGCUGACGAGUGGCGAACGGGUGAGUAAUACAUCGGAACGUGCCCGAUCGUGGGGGAUAACGGAGCGAAAGCUUUGCUAAUACCGCAUACGAUCUACGGAUGAAAGCAGGGGACCGCAAGGCCUUGCGCGGACGGAGCGGCCGAUGGCAGAUUAGGUAGUUGGUGGGAUAAAAGCUUACCAAGCCGACGAUCUGUAGCUGGUCUGAGAGGACGACCAGCCACACUGGGACUGAGACACGGCCCAGACUCCUACGGGAGGCAGCAGUGGGGAAUUUUGGACAAUGGGCGAAAGCCUGAUCCAGCCAUGCCGCGUGCAGGAUGAAGGCCUUCGGGUUGUAAACUGCUUUUGUACGGAACGAAAAGCCUCUUUCUAAUAAAGAGAGGUCAUGACGGUACCGUAAGAAUAAGCACCGGCUAACUACGUGCCAGCAGCCGCGGUAAUACGUAGGGUGCAAGCGUUAAUCGGAAUUACUGGGCGUAAAGCGUGCGCAGGCGGUUAUGU
This 507-nucleotide ribosomal RNA is filed under the name Acidovorax sp. EECC-100. RNAcentral's name for it is "bacterial SSU rRNA". It matches the Rfam family "Bacterial small subunit ribosomal RNA", at positions 81 to 584 of the family's 1533-position model. Lineage: Bacteria; Pseudomonadati; Pseudomonadota; Betaproteobacteria; Burkholderiales; Comamonadaceae. The record is from RNAcentral.